RNAcentral lists this ribosomal RNA (253 nucleotides) under uncultured bacterium. Its description in RNAcentral is "partial 16S ribosomal RNA". It matches the Rfam family "Bacterial small subunit ribosomal RNA", at positions 524 to 776 of the family's 1533-position model. The record is from RNAcentral.
UACGUAGGGGGCGAGCGUUGUCCGGAUUUAUUGGGCGUAAAGGGCUCGUAGGUGGCCAACUAAGUCAGACGUGAAAUCCCUCGGCUUAACCGGGGAACUGCGUCUGAUACUGGAUGGCUUGAGUUCGGGAGAGGGAUGCGGAAUUCCAGGUGUAGCGGUGAAAUGCGUAGAUAUCUGGAGGAACACCGGUGGCGAAGGCGGCAUCCUGGACCGACACUGACGCUGAUGAGCGAAAGCCAGGGGAGCAAACGGG